GUGGCCUUUUAAGCAGAAGCCAGAGGGUUGGCUCGCUGUCUUUCCACCAUGUGAGGAUACAACAAAAAGAAAGAAGUCCACAACCUGAGACUUUGGAGGACAUGUAUUGUAUCUGGCAGCUUCACAGAAACCUUUGAGACCUGAAUCACCCUUGGGAGGAGAGCUGUCAAAAAGAGCACAGUGUCUCAUGCCUGUAAUCCCAGCACUUUGGGAGGCCGAGUGUUUGGUCUAUGGGAGAGAGAAGAAAAGAGAAAGAGAGAACGAAAAGGGGAAAUGGUACUGUAAAAUAUGAUGAAUUCACCCUUGUGGAUGGUACUUUGAAGAUGUUUCCACUUCCCUUCGAAGGUGUUCAAUGUCCGUACAUAGAAUGAAAGGUGCCACCUUCUCCAGCAUGAGACAUAUCCCCAUGUGAUCCCUUACCACGCAGACUCCUGGCUGAGUUAGGAAGAAAGAACAGAAGUCAAUGCAUUCCAUUUAUUUUCAAGGCACACCCAAAAAGACUCAGAAAACGAUGGAUGGCAAGUACUCCCCCUUUCCAAAGUGAGGUGCUGACCACUGGUAAUGCAGUAAAUCUUGAGGGUAUCAAAGGAUUGAAAUGGAAGAGCCCUGAAAAUUGGACAUUAAAAAGGCAUUAAUUUCAAGAGC
Pan troglodytes (chimpanzee) is the source of this 645-nucleotide long non-coding RNA. RefSeq lists it as uncharacterized. The transcript has 5 exons. The record is from RefSeq and is a predicted model, not a curated record. NCBI's taxonomy places the organism in Eukaryota, Metazoa, Chordata, Mammalia, Primates, Hominidae.